Molecule: ribosomal RNA, 1528 nt
Filed under: Klebsiella pneumoniae
Lineage: Bacteria; Pseudomonadati; Pseudomonadota; Gammaproteobacteria; Enterobacterales; Enterobacteriaceae
Description: bacterial SSU rRNA
Rfam family: Bacterial small subunit ribosomal RNA
Source: RNAcentral
AGAGUUUGAUCAUGGCUCAGAUUGAACGCUGGCGGCAGGCCUAACACAUGCAAGUCGAGCGGUAGCACAGAGAGCUUGCUCUCGGGUGACGAGCGGCGGACGGGUGAGUAAUGUCUGGGAAACUGCCUGAUGGAGGGGGAUAACUACUGGAAACGGUAGCUAAUACCGCAUAACGUCGCAAGACCAAAGUGGGGGACCUUCGGGCCUCAUGCCAUCAGAUGUGCCCAGAUGGGAUUAGCUAGUAGGUGGGGUAACGGCUCACCUAGGCGACGAUCCCUAGCUGGUCUGAGAGGAUGACCAGCCACACUGGAACUGAGACACGGUCCAGACUCCUACGGGAGGCAGCAGUGGGGAAUAUUGCACAAUGGGCGCAAGCCUGAUGCAGCCAUGCCGCGUGUGUGAAGAAGGCCUUCGGGUUGUAAAGCACUUUCAGCGGGGAGGAAGGCGAUAAGGUUAAUAACCUUGGCGAUUGACGUUACCCGCAGAAGAAGCACCGGCUAACUCCGUGCCAGCAGCCGCGGUAAUACGGAGGGUGCAAGCGUUAAUCGGAAUUACUGGGCGUAAAGCGCACGCAGGCGGUCUGUCAAGUCGGAUGUGAAAUCCCCGGGCUCAACCUGGGAACUGCAUUCGAAACUGGCAGGCUAGAGUCUUGUAGAGGGGGGUAGAAUUCCAGGUGUAGCGGUGAAAUGCGUAGAGAUCUGGAGGAAUACCGGUGGCGAAGGCGGCCCCCUGGACAAAGACUGACGCUCAGGUGCGAAAGCGUGGGGAGCAAACAGGAUUAGAUACCCUGGUAGUCCACGCCGUAAACGAUGUCGAUUUGGAGGUUGUGCCCUUGAGGCGUGGCUUCCGGAGCUAACGCGUUAAAUCGACCGCCUGGGGAGUACGGCCGCAAGGUUAAAACUCAAAUGAAUUGACGGGGGCCCGCACAAGCGGUGGAGCAUGUGGUUUAAUUCGAUGCAACGCGAAGAACCUUACCUGGUCUUGACAUCCACAGAACUUUCCAGAGAUGGAUUGGUGCCUUCGGGAACUGUGAGACAGGUGCUGCAUGGCUGUCGUCAGCUCGUGUUGUGAAAUGUUGGGUUAAGUCCCGCAACGAGCGCAACCCUUAUCCUUUGUUGCCAGCGGUUCGGCCGGGAACUCAAAGGAGACUGCCAGUGAUAAACUGGAGGAAGGUGGGGAUGACGUCAAGUCAUCAUGGCCCUUACGACCAGGGCUACACACGUGCUACAAUGGCAUAUACAAAGAGAAGCGACCUCGCGAGAGCAAGCGGACCUCAUAAAGUAUGUCGUAGUCCGGAUUGGAGUCUGCAACUCGACUCCAUGAAGUCGGAAUCGCUAGUAAUCGUAGAUCAGAAUGCUACGGUGAAUACGUUCCCGGGCCUUGUACACACCGCCCGUCACACCAUGGGAGUGGGUUGCAAAAGAAGUAGGUAGCUUAACCUUCGGGAGGGCGCUUACCACUUUGUGAUUCAUGACUGGGGUGAAGUCGUAACAAGGUAACCGUAGGGGAACCUGCGGUUGGAUCACCU